UACGUAGGGGGCGAGCGUUGUCCGGAGUUACUGGGCGUAAAGCGCACGCAGGCGGUCUGCUAAGUUUGGAGUGACAGUUGGUGGCUUAACUGCCAAAGUGCUUCGAAAACUGACAGACUUGAGGGCUUCAGAGGGACACGGAAUUCCGGGUGGAGUGGUGAAAUGCGUAGAGAUCCGGAGGAACACCAAAGGCGAAGGCAGUGUCCUGGGUGGUCGCUGACGCUGAGAGGCGAAAGCCAGGGGAGCGAACGGG
RNAcentral lists this ribosomal RNA (253 nucleotides) under uncultured bacterium. RNAcentral describes it as "partial 16S ribosomal RNA". It matches the Rfam family "Bacterial small subunit ribosomal RNA", at positions 524 to 776 of the family's 1533-position model. The record is from RNAcentral.